This 876-nucleotide ribosomal RNA is filed under the name Cercospora canescens. Its description in RNAcentral is "eukaryotic LSU rRNA". It matches the Rfam family "Eukaryotic large subunit ribosomal RNA", at positions 34 to 939 of the family's 3401-position model. Lineage: Eukaryota; Fungi; Ascomycota; Dothideomycetes; Mycosphaerellales; Mycosphaerellaceae. The record is from RNAcentral.
CUAAGCAUAUCAAUAAGCGGAGGAAAAGAAACCAACAGGGAUUGCCCUAGUAACGGCGAGUGAAGCGGCAACAGCUCAAAUUUGAAAUCUGGCGCAAGCCCGAGUUGUAAUUUGUAGAGGAUGCUUCUGGGUAGCGACCGAUCUAAGUUCCUUGGAACAGGACGUCAUAGAGGGUGAGAAUCCCGUAUGUGACCGGCCCGCACCCUUUACGUAGCUCCUUCGACGAGUCGAGUUGUUUGGGAAUGCAGCUCUAAAUGGGAGGUAAAUUUCUUCUAAAGCUAAAUACCGGCCAGAGACCGAUAGCGCACAAGUAGAGUGAUCGAAAGAUGAAAAGUACUUUGGAAAGAGAGUUAAAAAGCACGUGAAAUUGUUGAAAGGGAAGCGCCUGCAACCAGACUUCGCGGCAGUGUUCCGCCGGUCUUCUGACCGGUUCAUUCUCUGUCGCGAGGCCAUCAUCGUCUGGGCCCGCCGGAUAAGACCUGAGGAAUGUGGCUCCCCCUCGGGGGAGUGUUAUAGCCUCUGGUGAUGCGGCGUGGCUCGGGCGAGGUCCGCGCUUCGGCAAGGAUGAUGGCGUAAUGGUUGUCGGCGGCCCGUCUUGAAACACGGACCAAGGAGUCUAACAUCUAUGCGAGUGUUCGGGUGUCAAACCCCUACGCGUAAUGAAAGUGAACGGAGGUGGGAACCGCAAGGUGCACCAUCGACCGAUCCUGAUGUCCUCGGAUGGAUUUGAGUAAGAGCAUAGCUGUUGGGACCCGAAAGAUGGUGAACUAUGCCUGAAUAGGGUGAAGCCAGAGGAAACUCUGGUGGAGGCUCGCAGCGGUUCUGACGUGCAAAUCGAUCGUCAAAUUUGGGUAUAGGGGCGAAAGACUAAUCGAA